Molecule: long non-coding RNA, 1057 nt
Organism: Pseudoliparis swirei
Lineage: Eukaryota; Metazoa; Chordata; Actinopteri; Perciformes; Liparidae
Exons: 4
Source: RefSeq, a predicted model, not a curated record
AUGAGGGGAGCUGAUCAAGCAAAAAUCUGAGUUGCAAUCAGAGUUCUUCAAAGAUCUCGACAAAUACACUCCUCGCUUCCUGGAGAAGUUCAAGACCCAGAGGGGGAAAGUGUCGGACAUAAACUUGAAUAUCUGCAACAAGUCACACCUGGGAGUACAGAUGUGACUGGGAGGUGAACAGCAGUCCUCCGUGGCUCUCCCGUCAUCCUUGGAGAUGACAACGCAGACUUCUUCAAGAAUUUGUGUGAGUUUAGGAUGGCAUGAAGCUUCGACUUGACCCUAUGGAAACACAGCAGAUGCCACCAAAGGGUCCUGAUCGGGGACUCUGAUGACCUUCUGGACGUGUCCCACACCUCCAUUGGGACCCUGACGGUGCUGAAGACAUCGUGGCCUCCUCACUCGCUGGACCUGGAGUCUACAGCUACUGCCGUUGUUUUGGGAGGAGCAGUCGUGAUGGGUGACCGUGAUGAUCUUCCCCGUGCCCUGUGGCUACUCUUCGGACUUAUUUACCCCUGAAUUUGGAGUAUCCUCAACGAGUGAGGAACACCUUCUGAAUUUAUUCAUAGAGUGCUUCUCACUUGGACCAAAAACCCUAAAAUACAAUCAUUCAAAAAUCUACUGAUGCCAUAAGGGACUGUGUUCAUGAUGUGCAGUCAGGCCCGAGAACUUCACCCUUCUAUCUCCAAUAGAACUCUUUUAUAGAAAAUGUCUGUUUUUGUUUUUCUGUCGUGAAAUUUAGCAAAUGCCGAAAACGCUGUGUUCAUCAUAUUUCUGCGUUACAAAACCUAAUCUGGCAACAUGUUCAGCGUUUGAAGCACGUUUGAGUUUUAAAACAUGUGUUUUUCUUCUAAAUAAACGUUGUCUUCCAUUGUAACUGUUCUCCUUCUUUUGUUUCAACAACUUACAGUUUUUAGUUCAGCUUACUUGAUCAUUUUAAGGCAAUCGGUUUCCUCACUAUUUCUAAGUAAUGGGAUCUCAUUGACUAGUAAAGUUAACUAGUUCUUAUUAGUACUGUUUACUUAAUAUAACUUGGAUCUUUUAAGUUGUCUUUUUUAAG